Small nuclear RNA from Ornithorhynchus anatinus (platypus), 107 nucleotides. The record is from RefSeq and is a predicted model, not a curated record. NCBI's taxonomy places the organism in Eukaryota, Metazoa, Chordata, Mammalia, Monotremata, Ornithorhynchidae.
GUGUUUGCUUCAGCAGCACAUAUACUAAAAUUGGAAUGAUGUAGACUAGACUAGCAUGGCCCCUGCGCAAGAAUGACAUACAAGUUUGUGAAGCUUUCCAUACUUUU